AUGGCGGGAAGAGGUGAUGGUAAGGCGCCGGCCGGCGGCGCGUCAGGAAGUGGAGAUGGUCGUGAUCAGCCAGGACCGGAGGCAAAUCUGGAGGAUAGGUUCUCGGGGCUGGACCUCCAUGGGGAGGAGGAGGAUGAGCUGGAUCUGUCUAGAGAGAUUGAAGGACCGAUAGAAGAAACACGCCGGCUUGCUAUUUUUAGGGUUCAUACUUUCAAACCCUUCAGCCACGUCGCCUUGUACAAGGCGAUGAGAAACACUUGCUCAGCGGCGCAAGGAGUGAUCUUCAAGGCCAUGAAACCAAAUAUCUUCCUGGCCUAA
RNAcentral lists this ribosomal RNA (318 nucleotides) under Triticum aestivum (bread wheat). RNAcentral describes it as "partial small subunit ribosomal RNA". Lineage: Eukaryota; Viridiplantae; Streptophyta; Magnoliopsida; Poales; Poaceae. The record is from RNAcentral.